RNAcentral lists this unclassified non-coding RNA (2090 nucleotides) under Channa gachua (dwarf snakehead). Its description in RNAcentral is "partial contains 12S small subunit ribosomal RNA, tRNA-Val, and 16S large subunit ribosomal RNA". The stretch from base 646 to 2090 matches the Rfam family "Bacterial large subunit ribosomal RNA", at positions 1 to 2597 of the family's 2925-position model. The record is from RNAcentral. Lineage: Eukaryota; Metazoa; Chordata; Actinopteri; Anabantiformes; Channidae.
GCUCAGCCCUAAACAUUGGUAGUUCCCCACACAAACUGCCCGCCCGGGAAGUACAAGCAUAAGCUCGAAACCCAAAGGACUUGGCGGUGCUUAAGACCCACCUAGAGGAGCCUGUUCUAGAACCGAUACCCCCCGUUCAACCUCACCCUCUCUUGAUCCUUCCGCCUAUAUACCGCCGUCGUCAGCUUACCCUAUGAAGGAAUCAUAGUAAGCAAAACUGGCACAGCCCCAAACGUCAGGUCGAGGUGCAGCAUAUGAGAGGGGAAGAAAUGGGCUACAUUAACUAUUUUAGUUAACACGGAUGAUGCACUGAAACACGCAUCUGAAGGAGGAUUUAGCAGUAAGCAGAGAAUAGAGCGCUCCGCUGAAGUAGGCUCUAAAGCGCGCACACACCGCCCGUCAUUCUCCCCUACCCAACCUUUCGCAUAUAAUUAAUGCACCUUAAACAUUAAGGGGAGGCAAGUCGUAACAUGGUAAGUGUACCGGAAGGUGUACUUGGACAAACCAGGACGUAGCUAAAAUAGUAAAGCACCUCACUUACACCGAGCAACUAUCCGUGCAAGUCGGAUCGCCCUGAACCAAACAGCUAGCCCAUCAAUUAAAAACCAAAUAUCAUCAUGAAUAAACCCUUAAGCACAACCACAAGCAUGCCCAAACCAUUUUACCUCCUGAGUACGGGCGACGGAAAAGGAACUCGGAGCCAUAGACAAAGUACCGCAAGGGAACGCUGAAAGAGUGUAUGAAAUAGCCCAGUAAAGUAACAAAAAGCAGAGACUAGCACUCGUACCUUUUGCAUCAUGAUUUAGCCAGUACCACCAGGCAAAGAGAACUUUAGUCUGGCCCCCCGAAACUAAGUGAGCUACUCCAAGACAGCCUAUAUAGGGCCAACCCGUCUCUGUAGCAAAAGAGUGGGAAGAGCUUUGAGUAGAGGUGAUAGAUCUACCGAACUUAGUAAUAGCUGGUUGCCUGAGAAAUGAAUAGGAGUUCAGCCUUCUAACUUCUCCCCUCACACAACUUUGAUUCAUCAGACACAAGAAACUAGAAGAGUUAGUCGAAGGGGGUACAGCCCCUUCGAACAAGAAACAACUUCCAUAGCCGGGUAAAGAUCAAAAUAAUUUAAGGAGACAUGUCCAAGUGGGCUUAAAAGCAGCCACCUAAACUGAAAGCGUUAAAGCUCAGACAUUUCCACCCCCACCCUUCCCCUGAUCCCGAUAAUAUCAUCUAAACCCCCUCCCCCCUACCAGGCUGUUUUAUGCAAACAUAAAAGCACCCCUGCUAAAAUGAGUAAUAAGAAAGGUACCAGCCUUUCUCCAAGCACGCACAUACAUCGAAACGGACCUUCCAUCGAACAUUACCGGCCCCAACCAAAGAGGGAAACGAGAAACUAAAAAAUAACCAAGAAAACCCCCCCCCCCCCCAAAAACCGUUAAGCCUACACUGGCGUGCUAACUAGGAAAGACCAAAAGAAAAAGAAGGAACUCGGCAAACACAUUAGCCUCGCCUGUUUACCAAAAACAUCGCCUCUUGUAAACUAAAAAUAAGAGGUCCCGCCUGCCCAGUGACAACAUGUUCAACGGCCGCGGUAUUAUGACCGUGCGAAGGUAGCGCAAUCACUUGUCUUUUAAAUGAAGGCCCGUAUGAAUGGCAUAACGAGGGCUAAACUGUCUCCUUUUUCCGGUCAAUGAAAUUGAUCUCCCCGUGCAGAAGCGGGGCUAUGCCCAUAAGACGAGAAGACCCUGUGGAGCUUUAGACAACAGGCCAGACCUUAUUCAGCCUCCCCCCUUAAUAAAGGGGCCAGCCCAAGGACGCUGACCCAAUGUCUUCGGUUGGGGCGACCCCGGAGCACACAAAACCUCCGUACGGAACAGGAGAACUUCUCCCACAGCCAAGAGUAACUACUCUAAGAAAUAGAAUUUCUAACCAAAGGAUCCGGCAAAGCCGAUUAACGAACUAAGUUACCCCAGGGAUAACAGCGCAAUCCCCUUUCAGAGUCCCUAUCGACAAGGGGGUUUACGACCUCGAUGUUGGAUCAGGACAUCCUAAUGGUGCAACCGCUAUUAAGGGUUCGUUUGUUCAACGAUUAAAGUCCU